Molecule: ribosomal RNA, 1020 nt
Filed under: Pleurotus sp. IOO-2013c
Lineage: Eukaryota; Fungi; Basidiomycota; Agaricomycetes; Agaricales; Pleurotaceae
Description: eukaryotic LSU rRNA
Rfam family: Eukaryotic large subunit ribosomal RNA (bases 602-1020)
Source: RNAcentral
CCUGCGGAAGGAUCAUUAAUGAAUUCACUAUGGAGUUGUUGCUGGCCUCUAGGGGCAUGUGCACGCUUCACUAGUCUUUCAACCACCUGUGAACUUUUGAUAGAUCUGUGAAGUCGUCCUUCAAGUCGUCAGACUUGGUUUGCUGGGAUUUAAACGUCUCGGUGUGACAACGCAGUCUAUUUACUUAACACACCCCAAAUGUAUGUCUACGAAUGUCAUUUAAUGGGCCUUGUGCCUAUAAACCAUAAUACAACUUUCAACAACGGAUCUCUUGGCUCUCGCAUCGAUGAAGAACGCAGCGAAAUGCGAUAAGUAAUGUGAAUUGCAGAAUUCAGUGAAUCAUCGAAUCUUUGAACGCACCUUGCGCCCCUUGGUAUUCCGAGGGGCAUGCCUGUUUGAGUGUCAUUAAAUUCUCAAACUCACAUUUAUUUGUGAUGUUUGGAUUGUUGGGGGUUGCUGGCUGUAACAAGUCGGCUCCUCUUAAAUGCAUUAGCAGGACUUCUCAUUGCCUCUGCGCAUGAUGUGAUAAUUAUCACUCAUCAAUAGCACGCAUGAAUAGAGUCCAGCUCUCUAAUCGUCCGCAAGGACAAUUUUGACAAUUUGACCUCAAAUCAGGUAGGACUACCCGCUGAACUUAAGCAUAUCAAUAAGCGGAGGAAAAGAAACUAACAAGGAUUCCCCUAGUAACUGCGAGUGAAGCGGGAAAAGCUCAAAUUUAAAAUCUGGUGGUCUUUGGCCAUCCGAGUUGUAAUCUAGAGAAGUGUUAUCCGCGCUGGACCGUGUACAAGUCCCCUGGAAUGGGGCGUCAUAGAGGGUGAGAAUCUCGUCUUUGACACCGACUACCAGGGCUUUGUGAUGCACUCUCAAAGAGUCGAGUUGUUUGGGAAUGCAGCUCAAAAUGGGUGGGAAAUUCCAUCUAAAGCUAAAUAUUGGCGAGAGACCGAUAGCGAACAAGCGCAGUGAGGGAAAGAUGAAAAGAACUUUGGAAAGAGAGUUAAACAGUACGUGAAAUUGUUGAAA